Non-coding RNA from Caenorhabditis elegans, 144 nucleotides. NCBI's taxonomy places the organism in Eukaryota, Metazoa, Nematoda, Chromadorea, Rhabditida, Rhabditidae. The record is from Ensembl.
UCGUAUGCACAAGAUAAAUGGGUGCGACAAAGGUGGUAGCUCUAUCGUCAGCCGGCGUUCUCCUCACGGACACCCGCCGCCCCGACCUCUUAGAAUUGCUGAUUAAUUCAUCCAGUGGGACGUCGCGAAAGAAACCUAUAUCUA